GUGAAUCAUCGAAUUUUUGAACGCAUAUCACACUCCCUGGUAUUCCGGAGAGUAUGCCUGUUUGAGGGUCAGUUAAAUAAAAAUCGGGGUUUUUGCCACCUUUGGUGGUGAUGCAUCGGAAUUGGGUCGUCUUUACCUUUCGGUUUAGUGACUUAAAAUUUUUUAAUGAUAUUUGAACGAAUUUAAUUUUUUUUGGUCCGUCAUGUAAUCUCGAAUGUUUAUUAGAAGUGGUUAUCCUC
This 239-nucleotide unclassified non-coding RNA is filed under the name Glomeromycotina sp. Its description in RNAcentral is "partial contains 5.8S ribosomal RNA and internal transcribed spacer 2". The stretch from base 1 to 71 matches the Rfam family "5.8S ribosomal RNA", at positions 84 to 154 of the family's 154-position model. Lineage: Eukaryota; Fungi; Glomeromycota. The record is from RNAcentral.